CAAGUCGCACGAGAAAGUGGAGCAAUCCAUGAGUAAAGUGGCGUACGGGUGAGUAACACGUGGGUAAUCUACCUCUUAGUGGGGAAUAACCCUGGGAAACCGGGGCUAAUACCGCAUAAGCUCGAGAGAGGAAAGCAGCAAUGCGCUGAGAGAGGAGCCCGCGGCCGAUUAGCUAGUUGGCAGGGUAAGAGCCUACCAAGGCAUAGAUCGGUAGCCGGCCUGAGAGGGCACACGGCCACACUGGCACUGAAACACGGGCCAGACUCCUACGGGAGGCAGCAGUGGGGAAUCUUGCACAAUGGGGGAAACCCUGAUGCAGCGACGCCGCGUGAGCGAUGAAGCCCUUCGGGGUGUAAAGCUCUUUCGGCAGGGAAGAUUAUGACGGUACCUGCAGAAGCAGCUGCGGCUAACUACGUGCCAGCAGCCGCGGUAAUACGUAGGCAGCGAGCGUUGUUCGGAGUUACUGGGCGUAAAGGGUGUGUAGGCGGUUCUUUAAGUUUGGUGUGAAAUCUCCCGGCUCAACCGGGAGGGUGCGCCGAAUACUGAGGGACUAGAGUGCGGGAGAGGAAAGUGGAAUUCCUGGUGUAGCGGUGAAAUGCGUAGAUAUCAGGAGGAACACCGGUGGUGUAGACGGCUUUCUGGACCGUAACUGACGCUGAGACACGAAAGCGUGGGUAGCAAACAGGAUUAGAUACCCUGGUAGUCCACGCCCUAAACGAUGCAUAUUUGGUGUGGGUCAUUCAGUUGAUCCGUGCCGGAGCUAACGCGUUAAAUAUGCCGCCUGGGGAGUACAGUCGCAAGGCUGAAACUCAAAGGAAUUGACGGGGGCCCGCACAAGCGGUGGAGCAUGUG
This 852-nucleotide ribosomal RNA is filed under the name uncultured Bacillota bacterium. Its description in RNAcentral is "bacterial SSU rRNA". It matches the Rfam family "Bacterial small subunit ribosomal RNA", at positions 58 to 943 of the family's 1533-position model. Lineage: Bacteria; Bacillati; Bacillota. The record is from RNAcentral.